GCCACACUCAGUGCAGAGUCAGAAGGUUACUCCCUUAACAAGCAGUAGAUCAAGAGGGACAGAUCAUAGGUGGGAGAUGGAGGAAUCUGGAAAUAAUUCAAACUUCUGGAAAUGGGAGAAGACAGGCAACGCCAGAUGACUUCUCUAAAGAGCGUACAUUGCUGGCGGUGUGUAUGGGUUCCGGUUGCUCUGUGUGAGCUUCAACCCACUGUUGUCAGAAGUUUCCCAAGCCGGGUAAAAUUUAGCCUCUUUUAUAUUUUCUUCUUGAUUAUUAAUUAAAUUGAUUA
This 287-nucleotide long non-coding RNA is filed under the name Chinchilla lanigera (long-tailed chinchilla). Its description in RNAcentral is "lncRNA (ENSCLAG00000028203.1)". Lineage: Eukaryota; Metazoa; Chordata; Mammalia; Rodentia; Chinchillidae. The record is from RNAcentral.